GUGGUCACUUUGGCAGCACAGAUACUAAAAUUGGAACAAUACAGAGAUUAGCAUGGCCCCUGCACAAGGAUGACGUGCAAAGUCGUGAAGUGUUCCAUAUUAAA
Molecule: small nuclear RNA, 104 nt
Filed under: Theropithecus gelada (gelada)
Lineage: Eukaryota; Metazoa; Chordata; Mammalia; Primates; Cercopithecidae
Source: RNAcentral